GAUGAACGCUGGCGACGUGCCUAAUACAUGCAAGUAGAACGCUGAAGGAAGGAGCUUGCUCUUUCCGGAUGAGUUGCGAACGGGUGAGUAACGCGUAGGUAACCUGCCUGGUAGCGGGGGAUAACUAUUGGAAACGAUAGCUAAUACCGCAUAACAGUAGAUGUUGCAUGAUAUCUACUUAAAAGGUGCAAUUGCACCACUACCAGAUGGACCUGCGUUGUAUUAGCUAGUUGGUGAGGUAACGGCUCACCAAGGCGACGAUACAUAGCCGACCUGAGAGGGUGAUCGGGCACACUGGGACUGAGACACGGCCCAGACUCCUACGGGAGGCAGCAGUAGGGAAUCUUCGGCAAUGGACGGAAGUCUGACCGAGCAACGCCGCGGGAGUGAAGAAGGGUUUCGGAUCGGAAAGCUCUGUUGUAAGAGAAGAACGAGUGUGAGAGUGGAAAGUUCACACUGUGACGGUAUCUUACCAGAAAGGGACGGCUAACUACGUG
This 497-nucleotide ribosomal RNA is filed under the name uncultured bacterium. RNAcentral's name for it is "partial 16S ribosomal RNA". It matches the Rfam family "Bacterial small subunit ribosomal RNA", at positions 28 to 507 of the family's 1533-position model. The record is from RNAcentral.